RNAcentral lists this ribosomal RNA (492 nucleotides) under uncultured bacterium. Its description in RNAcentral is "partial 16S ribosomal RNA". It matches the Rfam family "Bacterial small subunit ribosomal RNA", at positions 29 to 507 of the family's 1533-position model. The record is from RNAcentral.
AGUGAACGCUGGCGGUAGGCCUAACACAUGCAAGUCGAACGGCAGCACAGUAAGAGCUUGCUCUUACGGGUGGCGAGUGGCGGACGGGUGAGGAAUACAUCGGAAUCUACUUUUUCGUGGGGGAUAACGUAGGGAAACUUACGCUAAUACCGCAUACGACCCACGGGUGAAAGCAGGGGAUCUUCGGACCUUGCGCGAUUGAAUGCGCCGAUGUCGGAUUAGCUAGUUGGCGGGGUAAAGGCCCACCAAGGCGACGAUCCGUAGCUGGUCUGAGAGGAUGAUCAGCCACACUGGAACUGAGACACGGUCCAGACUCCUACGGGAGGCAGCAGUGGGGAAUAUUGGACAAUGGGCGCAAGCCUGAUCCAGCCAUACCGCGUGGGUGAAGAAGGCCUUCGGGUUGUAAAGCCCUUUUGUUGGGAAAGAAAAGCAGCAGGUUAAUACCCCGCUGUUCUGACGGUACCCAAAGAAUAAGCACCGGCUAACUUCGUG